Molecule: long non-coding RNA, 376 nt
Organism: Anolis carolinensis (green anole)
Lineage: Eukaryota; Metazoa; Chordata; Lepidosauria; Squamata; Anolidae
Exons: 3
Source: RefSeq, a predicted model, not a curated record
ACCUUAGUUGACCUUCAGGCUUUAACCAAUUGGGGAGAAGGAUUUUUUAUGAGGUGUAUGAAGAACCCAAAACACCUGUUGGGUAGAACAUUUUGCAAUAUCACAGAAGGAGGAAUCAAGACAUGCCUAGUGGUUCUGAAAGCAGGAGUCAAAGAAUGAACAUGAAAUACACAAAACAAUGGCAGAAGUCAGGGCUGGAAAAGGUGACCUGGAGAGUCUGGAGGUAUUGAGGGCCAAAAGACUGUGCCUUGGAUUGAAUUUUGCUCACCUUGCGCUACAGUGAAAGGUAAGUAGUCUCCUCCAAGGUUACAAUCAGGAGAACCUGCCCGAAACUGCCUUUUAACUCGUAGUCAUAUAGUCAUUGAGCAGGCCCGUA